GGGUGCAGGAGUUGGGGGUUUAUAUGGGGGAGUAGGAGCCUCGACUGGGGGUGUGGGAGUUGGGGGUUUGUACGGGGGAGUAGGAGCCUUGACUGGAGGUGCAGGACUUGGGGGUUUGUACGGGGGAGUAGGAGCCUUGACUGGAGGUGCAGGACUUGGGGGUUUGUACGGGGGAGUAGGAGCCUUGACUGGAGGUGCAGGACUUGGGGGUUUGUACGGGGGAGUAGGAGCCUUGACUGGAGGUGCAGGACUUGGGGGUUUGUACGGGGGAGUAGGAGCCUUGACUGGGGGUGUAGGAGUUGGGG
This 305-nucleotide long non-coding RNA is filed under the name Theobroma cacao (cacao). RNAcentral's name for it is "long non-coding RNA (TCAC_LNC002222)". The record is from RNAcentral. Lineage: Eukaryota; Viridiplantae; Streptophyta; Magnoliopsida; Malvales; Malvaceae.